This 402-nucleotide ribosomal RNA is filed under the name bacterium. RNAcentral's name for it is "partial 16S ribosomal RNA". It matches the Rfam family "Bacterial small subunit ribosomal RNA", at positions 355 to 776 of the family's 1533-position model. The record is from RNAcentral.
UGGGGAAUUUUGCACAAUGGGGGAAACCCUGAUGCAGCGACGCCGCGUGAUUUAGAAGGCCUUCGGGUUGUAAAAAUCUUUUCUAUGGGAAGAAAAUGACAGUACCAUAGGAAUAAGGACCGGCUAAUUACGUGCCAGCAGCCGCGGUAAUACGUAAGGUCCGAGCGUUGUCCGGAAUCAUUGGGCGUAAAGGGUACGUAGGCGGGUAAGCAAGUUAGAAGUGAAAUCCUAUAGCCCAACUAUAGUAAGCUUUUAAAACUGCUCAUCUUGAGGUAUGGAAGGGAAAGUGGAAUUCCUAGUGUAGCGGUGAGAUGCGCAGAGAUUAGGAGGAGUACCGGUGGCGAAGGCGACUUUCUGGCCAUAACCUGACGCUGAGGUACGAAAGCGUGGGUAGCAAACAGG